This 1748-nucleotide long non-coding RNA is filed under the name Setaria viridis. RNAcentral describes it as "long non-coding RNA (SVIR_LNC002999)". Lineage: Eukaryota; Viridiplantae; Streptophyta; Magnoliopsida; Poales; Poaceae. The record is from RNAcentral.
CAUGUUUUGCAUCUGUCAAUUAACAUACAUUGGCUCGCUGUCAAUUUCUUGUGUUUUGCAAGCAGCGCAAGGGGUUCUCUGCUGUUUCUGGUUUUCAGGAAAAAUCCAACAACCGAGCAGUUGGAGAAGCGAAGGCCGCGAGAGACACUUGCGGACUGAAGUGUCUAAGCAGGUACCUGGUGCUACUGGCGCAGUUUCUUAUCAUUCAGGUUUGUGCAUCUUGUUUCAUUAUUUCAAUCUUGUUACUUUCAUGUUCAAAAAAAUAUAGUACUGGGCUACUGGUCUAUCUAGCAUCCCCAAAUGUGCUUUCUGUUUUUGUCAGUAUUACAACACUAUGAAUAUACACAAAAGCCACUAGAAAUACAUUAGCACUGUUCCAUCACUACACAACUUGGAACGAUGCACUGUAAUAGGAAGUUAAGACUGCAAAAAUUAGUAUGGUGCUUACAAUAGGAUACCAGUAUACCAUAGAGAUUCCAUGGUGCCCUCUAAUCAAGAAAAAAAACGUCUAUACUUCCUUCACCAUAGCUGUUUCAGUGAUUUGCAGUUGCAGCUAAAUCAACUGAAAGGCUCUCCACUACCGAUUCCAUCGUUGGCCUUUUCUUCCUCUCUUCCUCCAAGCACGAGACAGACAACUUGAUCAAAGCUUUUGCUUGCGAGUAGUCGAAUUCACCACCCAGUCUGAAAUCCACAAACUCUGCUAUCCAAAAGGGUUCCUCCCUGUCCAAUCUGUAGGAAAGCAUCUUGAUGAACUUCUUCAGCAUCACAUGCACCUUCUCAUCUUCACCUUUGACCAAAUCAAAAACCCGUGUUCCUGACACCAGUUCGAGAAGCACAACUCCAUAGCUGUACACGUCGACCUUGGCAGUUAUCGGUAAACCAGAUAUCCACUCUGGAGCAAUGUAACCUAUGGUUCCUCGUGCUCGUGUUACAUUUUGAUUAUCCCCAGAUCUGUUGACCAACUUUGCCAACCCAAAGUCAGUGAUCUUAGGCUCCAGAUCCUGGUCCAAUAAAAUGUUCUCAGGCUUCAGGUUGCAGUGAAUGAUCCACUCUAGGCACUCGUGGUGAAGAUAGGCCAGUCCCUUUGCAACACCUAAGGCAAUGUUGAAUCUCUGAUUCCAUUCUAAAGAGAUUUUACUUUUGAACAAUAUGUGUGCCAACGAUCCUUUCUCAGCGUACUCGAGGACUAACAUCCUGUGGGAUCUUUCUGAACAAAACCCAUAUAUUCUUACUAGGUUCAUAUGGUUGAUCCUCGCAAUAACAUGCAACUCAUCAUUGAAUUCUUCUCUGCUGUGCCUUAUAUUUCCCAGCUUUUUUACAACCACCAGUCGGUCAUCGUCUAAUAUGCCUUUAUAGGCAACCCCUGUACCUCCCCAUCCAAGCUCAUGUGCAAAUUUUUCAGUUGCCUUAGCCAGCUCUCUGUAGCUAUACAUUCGGAAAUGAUUGGUCAUCAUCUUGUAGCCUUCCUCAGCUGCCCAUACUUGUGAUGACUUCAAUUCCCUCCUCAAGACAAAGAACCAUGCAAAUGUGAAAAAGAAAACUUCAAUAAUGAAGAAUGCACCAAUAAACCCAUAGAAGUAGAACCAUUUUGGCUCCUCCUGACUAGGCUUAUGUAAGUAACUGGGAUUUUGUUCCGUGAAUAUUGUGCUUAUAGGACCACAUACAGGCUUACGUGGUGCAGAAUCAAGCACAUUGGACUGCGGAAUCUGAAGUUUUGAUGUGUCCAAACUUGAUGGGAGUUUGAUGUA